GAAUUUUGGACAAUGGGCGAAAGCCUGAUCCAGCAAUGCCGCGUGCAGGAUGGAGGCCUUCGGGUUGUAAACUGCUUUUGUACGGAACGAAAAGCUUUGGGUUAAUACCCUGGAGCCAUGACGGUACCGUUAGAAUAAGCACCGGCUACCUCAGUGCCAGCAGCAGCGGUAAUUCGUAGGGUGCAAGCGUGAAUCGGAAUUCCUGGGCGUAAAGCGUGCGAAGGCGGUUUUGUGAGACAGAGGUGAAAUCCCCGGGCUCAACCUGGGAACUGCCUUUGUGACUGCAAGGCUAGAGUACGGCAGAGGGGGGUGGAAUUCCGCGUGUAGCAGUGAAAUGCGUAGAUAUGCGGAGGAACACCGAUGGCGAAGGCAACCCCCUGGGCCUGUACUGACGCUCAUGCACGAAAGCGUGGGGAGCAAACA
This 423-nucleotide ribosomal RNA is filed under the name uncultured bacterium. Its description in RNAcentral is "partial 16S ribosomal RNA". It matches the Rfam family "Bacterial small subunit ribosomal RNA", at positions 359 to 774 of the family's 1533-position model. The record is from RNAcentral.